Molecule: ribosomal RNA, 497 nt
Filed under: uncultured bacterium
Lineage: Bacteria
Description: partial 16S ribosomal RNA
Rfam family: Bacterial small subunit ribosomal RNA
Source: RNAcentral
GAUGAUCGCUGGCGGCGUGCCUAACACAUGCAAGUCGAGCGAACAGACGAGGAGCUUGCUCCUCUGACGUUAGCGGCGGACGGGUGAGUAACACGUGGAUAACCUACCUAUAAGACUGGGAUAACUUCGGGAAACCGGAGCUAAUACCGGAUAAUAUAUUGAACCGCAUGGUUCAAUAGUGAAAGACGGUUUUGCUGUCACUUAUAGAUGGAUCCGCGCCGCAUUAGCUAGUUGGUAAGGUAACGGCUUACCAAGGCAACGAUGCGUAGCCGACCUGAGAGGGUGAUCGGCCACACUGGAACUGAGACACGGUCCAGACUCCUACGGGAGGCAGCAGUAGGGAAUCUUCCGCAAAGGGCGAAAGCCUGACGGAGCAACGCCGCGUGAGUGAUGAAGGUCUUCGGAUCGUAAAACUCUGUUAUUAGGGAAGAACAAAUGUGUAAGUAACUAUGCACGUCUUGACGGUACCUAAUCAGAAAGCCACGGCUAACUACGUG